GCGAAAAUUCACGAGGCGCAUAAAUUCAAUCUAUCAGAUGGCUUUUGCUGGUGACCACGGAUGUACUGGCACCCUGCUGAUGCGAUCAAGAAAGGGUCGGCGCGAGCAUUCGCCCGACCCUUUCUUUU
This 128-nucleotide small RNA is filed under the name Rhizobium esperanzae. RNAcentral's name for it is "sRNA ar35". Lineage: Bacteria; Pseudomonadati; Pseudomonadota; Alphaproteobacteria; Hyphomicrobiales; Rhizobiaceae. The record is from RNAcentral.